GCAGGUGUGGCGGAAUUGGCAGACGCACUAGACUUAGGAUCUAGCGCCUUUGGCAUGGGGGUUCGACUCCCUUCCCCUGCACCA
RNAcentral lists this transfer RNA (84 nucleotides) under Clostridium botulinum C. RNAcentral describes it as "tRNA-Leu". It matches the Rfam family "tRNA". From Rfam's summary of the family: Transfer RNA (tRNA) molecules are approximately 80 nucleotides in length. Their secondary structure includes four short double-helical elements and three loops (D, anti-codon, and T loops). Further hydrogen bonds mediate the characteristic L-shaped molecular structure. tRNAs have two regions of fundamental functional importance: the anti-codon, which is responsible for specific mRNA codon recognition, and the 3' end, to which the tRNAs corresponding amino acid is attached (by aminoacyl-tRNA synthetases). tRNAs cope with the degeneracy of the genetic code in two manners: having more than one tRNA (with a specific anti-codon) for a particular amino acid; and 'wobble' base-pairing, i.e. permitting non-standard base-pairing at the 3rd anti-codon position. The record is from RNAcentral. Lineage: Bacteria; Bacillati; Bacillota; Clostridia; Eubacteriales; Clostridiaceae.